This 253-nucleotide ribosomal RNA is filed under the name uncultured bacterium. RNAcentral's name for it is "partial 16S ribosomal RNA". It matches the Rfam family "Bacterial small subunit ribosomal RNA", at positions 524 to 776 of the family's 1533-position model. The record is from RNAcentral.
UACGUAGGGGGCAAGCGUUGUCCGGAAUCAUUGGGCGUAAAGAGCGUGUAGGCGGCCCGGUAAGUCCGCUGUGAAAGUCCAGGGCUCAACCCUGGAAUGCCGGUGGAAACUGUCGGGCUAGAGUCCGGAAGAGGCGAGUGGAAUUCCUGGUGUAGCGGUGAAAUGCGCAGAUAUCAGGAGGAACACCAAUGGCGAAGGCAGCUCUCUGGGACGGUACUGACGCUGAGACGCGAAAGCGUGGGGAGCGAACAGG